This 497-nucleotide ribosomal RNA is filed under the name uncultured bacterium. RNAcentral describes it as "partial 16S ribosomal RNA". It matches the Rfam family "Bacterial small subunit ribosomal RNA", at positions 28 to 507 of the family's 1533-position model. The record is from RNAcentral.
GAUGAACGCUGGCGGCGUGCCUAAUACAUGCAAGUCGAGCGAACAGACGAGGAGCUUGCUCCUCUGACGUUAGCGGCGGACGGGUGAGUAACACGUGGAUAACCUACCUAUAAGACUGGGAUAACUUCGGGAAACCGGAGCUAAUACCGGAUAAUAUAUUGAACCGCAUGGUUCAAUAGUGAAAGACGGUUUUGCUGUCACUUAUAGAUGGAUCCGCGCCGCAUUAGCUAGUUGGUAAGGUAACGGCUUACCAAGGCAACGAUGCGUAGCCGACCUGAGAGGGUGAUCGGCCACACGGGAACUGAGACACGGUCCAGACUCCUACGGGAGGCCGCAGUAGGGAAUCUUACGCAAUGGGCGAAAGCCUGACAGAGCAACGCGGCGUGAGUGAUGAAGGUCUUCGGAUCGUAAAACUCUGUUAUUAGGGAAGAACAAAUGUGUAAGUAACUAUGCACGUAUUGACGGUACCUAAUCAGAAAGCCACGGCUAACUACGUG